AGUGAAUAGAUACCCGGGUAGUCCACGCCCUAAACGAUGUCAACUAGUUGUCGGGGAUUAAUUUUCUUGGUAAACGUAGCUAAACGCGAGAAAGUUGACCGCCUGGGGAGUACGGUCGCAAGAUUAAAACUCAAAGGAAUUGACGGGGACCCGCACAAGCGGUGGAUGAUGUGGAUUAAUUCGAUGCAACGCGAAAAAACCUUACCUACCCUUGACAUGGUUCGAAUCUACCAGAGAUGGUGGAGUGCCCGAAAGGGAACGGAUGCACAGGUGCUGCAUGGCUGUCGUCAGCUCGUGUCGUGAGAUGUUGGGUUAAGUCCCGCAACGAGCGCAACCCUUGUCAUUAAUUGCCAUCAUUAAGUUGGGCACUUUAAUGAGACUGCCGGUGACAAACCGGAGGAAGGUGGGGAUGACGUCAAGUCCUCAUGGCCCUUAUGGGUAGGGCUUCACACGUCAUACAAUGGUGCAUACAGAGGGUUGCCAAUCCGCGAGGAGGAGCUAAUCUCAGAAAGUGCAUCGUAGUCCGGAUUGAAGU
This 535-nucleotide ribosomal RNA is filed under the name uncultured bacterium. Its description in RNAcentral is "bacterial SSU rRNA". It matches the Rfam family "Bacterial small subunit ribosomal RNA", at positions 774 to 1304 of the family's 1533-position model. The record is from RNAcentral.